RNAcentral lists this non-coding RNA (19 nucleotides) under Arabidopsis thaliana (thale cress). Lineage: Eukaryota; Viridiplantae; Streptophyta; Magnoliopsida; Brassicales; Brassicaceae. The record is from RNAcentral.
GCGUCUGUAGUCCAACGGU